GUGGUAUUUAAUAGUGGUAUAUAGGUAUUAGUUGGUGGUAUAUAAUAGUGGUAUAUAUGUGUUAGUUUGUGGUAUAUAAUAGUUUUAUAUAGGUGUUAGUUGGUGGUAUAUAAUAGCAGUUUUUAGGUGUUAGUUGGUGGUAUAUAAUAGUGGUAUAUAGGUCUUAGUUGGUGGUUUCUAAUAGUGGUAUAUAGGUGUUAUUUGGUGGUAUAUAAUAGUGGUAUAUAAUUGUGGUAUAUAGGUGUUAGUUGGUUGAUUAUAAUAGUUUUAUAUAGGUGUUAGUUGGAGGUAUAUAAUAGUGGUAUGUAGGUGUUAGUUGGUGGUAUAUAAUAGUUGUAUAUAGGUGUUAGUUGGUGGUAUAUAAUAGUAAUAUAUAAGUGUGGAAUGCAGGUGUUAGUUGGUGCUAUAUAAUAGUUGUAUGUUGGUGUUAGUUGGUGGUAUAUAAUAGUGGUAUAGAGGUGUUAGUUGCUGUUAUAUUAUAGUUGUAUAUAAUAUUAAUAUAUGUGUGUUAGUUGGUGGUAUAUAAUAGUGGUAUUUAAUAGUGGUAUAUAGGUAUUAGUUGGUGGUAUAUAAUAAUGGUAUAUAGGUGUUAGUUUGUGGUAUAUAAUAGUUUUAUAUAGGUGUUAGUUGGUGGUAUAUAAUAUUGGUAUAUAAUAGUGGUAUAUAGAUGUUAGUCUGUGGUAUAUAAGUAGUAUGUAGGUGUUAGUUGGUGGUAUAUAAUAGUGGUAUAUAGGUGUUACUUGGUGGUGUAUAAUAGUGGUAUAUAAUGGUUGUAUAUAGAUGUUAGUUGGUGGUAUAUAAUAUUGGUAUUUCAUAGUGGUAUAUAGGUGUUAGUUGGAGGUAUAUUAUAGUGUUAUAGAAUAGUGGUAUGUACGUGUUAGUUGGUGGUGUAUUAUAGUUGUAUAUAAUAUUGGUAUAUAUUUGUUAGUAAAUUGUAUAUAAUAGUGGUAUAUAAUAAUAGUGGCAUAUAGGUGUUAUUUGGUGGUAUAUAAUAGUGGUAUAUAGGUGUUAGUUUGUGGUAUAUAAUAAUGGAAUGCAGGUGUUAGUUGGUGCUAUAUAAUAGUG
Long non-coding RNA from Oncorhynchus tshawytscha (Chinook salmon), 1065 nucleotides. NCBI's taxonomy places the organism in Eukaryota, Metazoa, Chordata, Actinopteri, Salmoniformes, Salmonidae. The record is from Ensembl.